GAGGAAUAAAAACCGGGAAAAGAUCUUAACAGCUGAAUACAGCAAAAAGAAAGAAAUAUUGUGCGUUUAUAAAGUAAAAGUGUGUUAAGUGCCAAUCUCAAUUGAUUGGCGGUUAGUACCGGCUUAAACUUCGGGCAAUCGUUUGGGUACCUGUCUGAACCCCAAUACGAAAGCUCGCAACAACAAUUUCCCCGAUAUUAGGGCCUCCGCCCCCGACAAGGGACUUAUGCUCCUCGCCCAACUACAGCUCCGUACCAAAAAUUCCCAGCGCUAGGCCGAGCAGCACAAAGCGGGAGGCGUAAAAGAUCGGCUCAUCAGUCGCUUUGCGGGCGCGAGCCACUUAUGUGUCACGGACCCGCGAUAUAUUGGAGGCCGUCCAAUUCUGCGGAAAUUAUUAAAGCUAUGUAAACGGU
Long non-coding RNA from Drosophila miranda, 413 nucleotides. RefSeq lists it as uncharacterized. The record is from RefSeq and is a predicted model, not a curated record. Lineage: Eukaryota; Metazoa; Arthropoda; Insecta; Diptera; Drosophilidae. The transcript has 2 exons.